This is a non-coding RNA of Fundulus heteroclitus (mummichog), 83 nucleotides long. The record is from the annotation of a RefSeq genome assembly. NCBI's taxonomy places the organism in Eukaryota, Metazoa, Chordata, Actinopteri, Cyprinodontiformes, Fundulidae.
ACCAGGAUGGCGGAGUGGUUAAGGCGUUAGACUUAAGAUCUGAUGGAUAAAUCUCCUCGUGGGUUCAAUCCCCACUCCUGGUA